Long non-coding RNA from Brassica oleracea var. oleracea, 674 nucleotides. RefSeq lists it as uncharacterized. NCBI's taxonomy places the organism in Eukaryota, Viridiplantae, Streptophyta, Magnoliopsida, Brassicales, Brassicaceae. The transcript is spliced from 4 exons. The record is from RefSeq and is a predicted model, not a curated record.
CAGACCGUUGUGCUUUUGUUCAGUUCCCUCAAGAGUUCUAUGAUUCUAACUCCAACGAACUAGCCGUCGUACAAUCAUAUUUGGGAAGAGGUGUUGCAGGAAUCCAAGGACCGCUAUAUUGUGGCUCAGGAUGCUUCCAUACUAGAAGAGUUAUGUACGGCUUAUCUCCAGAUGAUUUGGAAAACAACGGAGAUCUUUCGUCGGCUGCUACAAAGUUUUUGGAUGAGGAUAGUUUAGCGAGGAAAUUUGGGAGUUCUAAAGAGUUGGUCAUAUCGAUUGUGGAAGCUUUUGCAAGGAAAAUCAAAUCCCAAAACUAGCCUUACAGACUUCAUAGAAGCGGCUCAAAUGGUGGGCAUUGUCACUACGAGCACCAAACCAAUUGGGGGAAAACUCUCGGUUGUUUAUACGAUUCUGUGGCGGAAGAUAUGAACACAAGUAUUGGAAUCCAUUUGAGAGGAUGGAGUAGCUCAUACAUUUGUCCGGAUCCACCUGCGUUUCUUGGAUCUACGCCGUCGGUGGGAUUUGAGGCGAUAGUACAGCAGCGGCGAUGGGGGACGGGAGCGAUCGAAGUCCUUUUUAACAAGCAAAGUCCGUUAAGAGGAAUGUUUAGCAGCAAAAUAAGAUUCCGACAACGAUUAGCUUAUCUUUGGGUUCUAAUGUGUCUAAGGUCAAUC